RNAcentral lists this ribosomal RNA (158 nucleotides) under uncultured bacterium. RNAcentral's name for it is "partial 16S ribosomal RNA". It matches the Rfam family "Bacterial small subunit ribosomal RNA", at positions 355 to 509 of the family's 1533-position model. The record is from RNAcentral.
UGAGGAAUAUUGGUCAAUGGGCGAGAGCCUGAACCAGGCCAAGUCGCGUGAGGGAAGACGGUCCUAUGGAUUGUAAACCUCUUUUGCCGGGGAGCAAAGAGCGGCACGUGUGCCGCGCCGAGAGUACCCGGAGAAAAAGCAUCGGCUAACUCCGUGCC